GACGAACGCUGGCGGGGUGCUUAACACAUGCAAGUCGAACGGAAAGGCCCUGCUUGCAGGGUACUCGAGUGGCGAACGGGUGAGUAACACGUGGGUGAUCUGCCCUGCACUUCGGGAUAAGCCUGGGAAACUGGGUCUAAUACCGGAUAGGAGCCAUUUUUAGUGUGAUGGUUGGAAAGUUUUUUCGGUGUAGGAUGAGCUCGCGGCCUAUCAGCUUGUUGGUGGGGUAAUGGCCUACCAAGGCGGCGACGGGUAGCCGGCCUGAGAGGGUGGACGGCCACAUUGGGACUGAGAUACGGCCCAGACUCCUACGGGAGGCAGCAGUGGGGAAUAUUGCACAAUGGGCGCAAGCCUGAUGCAGCGACGCCGCGUGGGGGAUGACGGCCUUCGGGUUGUAAACUCCUUUCGCUAGGGACGAAGCUUUUUGUGACGGUACCUAGAUAAGAAGCACCGGCUAACUACGUG
This 465-nucleotide ribosomal RNA is filed under the name uncultured bacterium. RNAcentral's name for it is "partial 16S ribosomal RNA". It matches the Rfam family "Bacterial small subunit ribosomal RNA", at positions 28 to 507 of the family's 1533-position model. The record is from RNAcentral.